This 1123-nucleotide ribosomal RNA is filed under the name uncultured bacterium. Its description in RNAcentral is "bacterial SSU rRNA". It matches the Rfam family "Bacterial small subunit ribosomal RNA", at positions 47 to 1162 of the family's 1533-position model. The record is from RNAcentral.
AUUGAUUUUAUGCUUGCAUAAAUGAUUUUUGGAUUCGGAGCGAGUGGCGAACUGGUGAGUAACACGUGGGUAACCUGCCCCGAAGCGGGGGAUAACAUUUGGAAACAAGUGCUAAUACCGCAUAAUUAGUUGGAACCGCAUGGUUCCAACUUGAAAGAUGGCUCUGCUAUCACUUUGGGAUGGACCCGCGCCGUAUUAGUUAGUUGGUGAGAUAAAAGCCCACCAAGACGAUGAUACGUAGCCGACCUGAGAGGGUAAUCGGCCACAUUGGGACUGAGACACGGCCCAGACUCCUACGGGAGGCAGCAGUAGGGAAUCUUCCACAAUGGACGAAAGUCUGAUGGAGCAACGCCGCGUGAGUGAUGAAGGUUUUCGGAUCGUAAAACUCUGUUGUUAAAGAAGAACAAGUGUUAGAGUAACUGUUAACACUUUGACGGUAUUUAACCAGAAAGCCACGGCUAACUACGUGCCAGCAGCCGCGGCAAUACGUAGGUGGCAAGCGUUGUCCGGAUUUAUUGGGCGUAAAGCGAGCGCAGGCGGUUUUGUAAGUCUGCUGUGAAAGCCCUCAGCUCAACUGAGGAAGUGCAGUGGAAACUACAAAACUUGAGUACAGAAGAGGAAAGUGGAACUCCAUGUGUAGCGGUGAAAUGCGUAGAUAUAUGGAAGAACACCAGUGGCGAAGGCGGCUUUCUGGUCUGUUACUGACGCUGAGGCUCGAAAGCAUGGGUAGCGAACAGGAUUAGAUACCCUGGUAGUCCAUGCCGUAAACGAUGAAUACUAGGUGUUGGAGGGUUUCCGCCCUUCAGUGCCGCAGCUAACGCAUUAAGUAUUCCGCCUGGGGAGUACGACCGCAAGGUUGAAACUCAAAGGAAUUGACGGGGGCCCGCACAAGUGGUGGAGCAUGUGGUUUAAUUCGAUGCUACGCGAAGAACCUUACCAGCUCUUGACAUCUUCUGCCAACCCAAGAGAUUGGGCGUUCCCUUCGGGGACAGAAUGACAGGUGGUGCAUGGUUGUCGUCAGCUCGUGUCGUGAGAUGUUGGGUUAAGUCCCGCAACGAGCGCAACCCUUAUUAUUAGUUGCCAGCAUUUAGUUGGGCACUCUAGUGAGACUGCCGGUGAUAAA